Molecule: long non-coding RNA, 1992 nt
Organism: Triticum dicoccoides
Lineage: Eukaryota; Viridiplantae; Streptophyta; Magnoliopsida; Poales; Poaceae
Exons: 5
Source: RefSeq, a predicted model, not a curated record
GAACUGGUAAAGGAAACCUAGAGCCAAGCGGUAAAACAAGACCUUCCUGCUCCUCCUCCCUCACCCGGCGGCAGCUCCCUACCCCUGCCUGCGCACCGCCUCUUCCUCCUUCUUACAGCGGCAGCGGUGAGCAUGAGAGCAGCGGAAGCGGCUGGACACCAUAAGUUGCCCGAGGUGGUCUACAGCGAGGAACGACCGCGCCCGACGUCGUCCUCCAACCCGUACUUCCCAACCCGGUGCAUGCCCAAGGAUUGUGGCGCACCUCGAAGGAAGGACCAAGGCCUGAGACGACUUGUCCUCUUCUUCCUCUAACAUCUCCCUGCCGGCUGCUGCUUAUUAGUAGGGAGGGAGGAAGGGAGGGAGCGGAAAAGAUAGAUGGCGGCGGCUCGACCUGGCUGAGUUGUCUGGGGAGUUGCGCACACGUCGAGCGACGGUGAGCGCAUCCGACGCUGAUACACCGAGGUGAUAUUCACCCGUUCUUUCUCUCCCCAUGCGGCCUCCUCCGCUCGGCCCCGAUUAUGUCACAUUACUGGUUCUGGUUGAUCUUUGUUGGUUAAAGUAUGUGUUAUUGUGACCUUGAGAAUAUUCUUUAUUUUAUCAUUGUAUAACUAAAUAUUUAUUUAUGAACCAGAGUCCUCAUCUCCCUAUCUGUGUCCCUCAGUUUUCUAUUGGCCAAAACAAAAGAUGCAAUCUAUUGUUGAAAGACCAACUUGUCCGCAAAAUACCUUGUGAACUGUGGCAGUUGAGCUAGGAGGUCUGUGCGAGUUAGAGGUUAUAUGAGACAAGGGCUUGGUCCUAUUAAAUGGAAGGGCCAUAAUUAUUAGUCCAAGUGAUAUUGAAGUUACAUUUGAGAAUUUUCCCUACUACCUUAGCAAGAAUACGAAGGAUGUGCUGUUAUCAUGUUCAUUCCUACAUUUGGAAAAGAAGGGAUUCAUUUAGCAGUUCUCGGAAGUUUCUUCAAUAAACCAGCGAAUUUAUCAUCUAGUCCAUCAGGUUCUGAGAUUUAUUAGGAAACAUUGAUGAAGGCACUUGCCAAACAUUUUGGUGCCAUACUACUUGUUGUUGAUUUGUUGCUAUUGCCGGACAUACUGAGAACUUCAUGAAUACCUUAAAUAGUGAUAUUUCUGUGUUGAUUUUGUUUGAAACAAAAUUGUAUGUGGCUGUCCAUGCACACACGGUAUUCAAUUUUUUAUAUAGUGUAGAAAUGGUGUGGAAGUUAAAGCAUAUGUGACUGCAUGUGGAUAUAUUUUGUCAACCCAUGUAACAUUGCCUUUAAACAUGAUUUAGGAUUUUCAUUAUGUGCAACUCUGCCCAGAUUGAGUACUAAGUUGUUUGUUUCGUGCCUAGGUGAGGUCAUUAUGGCGGUACUUGAUGCUCUAAUGUUCAUCUGUGUUAUGGAGUUGGUUCUUUUGAAGUUAAAAGUAGUUGUAUGUUCGUACGAUGCUCUUCUCAGGUUUUAAGCCUAGGUGAAGGCAUAACAUGUGGUAAUGUAUGUUCUUUUCGAUCUGCCUGCGGCUGAUUUUUUACCUUUUCUAGGUUGUUUUGCGUACUGUGGUUGCCCUUUAUUCCACAUGGUCUAUGAGUUGCGAGGAUCUAGGGUCUAGGAACUGACAGGCUCUUGUUUCUAUUGCUGAUUAGAGCUUUGGUUAAGGAUUGCAACCGGAGGAGCCGGAGAACACGACCCCUGUCCUAUGUGCGGCCAUAUCCCCCAUGGCUUCUACAAGGACCAUAUCCCCCACGGUUUUUUAGGGAACUCUUUUGAAAGGCAUGUGUGUACAGAACACAUGUUUCAUCGUCUUCUCUUUUUUUCAUGAGUUGUUGAAUAGAUCUUAUGAAGCUUGAUUGAUAGUGUUUCAACUCAGAUGAAGUGUUCUGGAUGAUCAGUUUUGCAGAUCCUGGAGAUCAUUAUACCUUCUGUACAAUGCACUGUUUGGGAGUGUUGCAUGCCUUUGUAUUGUGUUCCUGAACCUUGCUAAGUUUGUCCAUGUCCAA